AUUGAACGCUGGCGGCAUGCUUUACACAUGCAAGUCGAACGGUAACAGGCCGCAAGGUGCUGACGAGUGGCGAACGGGUGAGUAAUGCAUCGGAACGUGCCCAGUCGUGGGGGAUAACGCCGCGAAAGCUGUGCUAAUACCGCAUACGAUCUAUGGAUGAAAGCGGGGGACCGUAAGGCCUCGCGCGAUUGGAGCGGCCGAUGUCAGAUUAGGUAGUUGGUGGGGUAAAGGCUCACCAAGCCAACGAUCUGUAGCUGGUCUGAGAGGACGACCAGCCACACUGGGACUGAGACACGGCCCAGACUCCUACGGGAGGCAGCAGUGGGGAAUUUUGGACAAUGGGCGCAAGCCUGAUCCAGCAAUGCCGCGUGCAGGAAGAAGGCCCUCGGGUUGUAAACUGCUUUUGUACGGAACGAAAAGGUUUGGGUUAAUACCCUGGGCCGAUGACGGUACCGUAAGAAUAAGCACCGGCUAACUACGUGCCAGCAGCCGCCGUAA
RNAcentral lists this ribosomal RNA (498 nucleotides) under uncultured bacterium. RNAcentral describes it as "partial 16S ribosomal RNA". It matches the Rfam family "Bacterial small subunit ribosomal RNA", at positions 30 to 523 of the family's 1533-position model. The record is from RNAcentral.